RNAcentral lists this transfer RNA (73 nucleotides) under Albula glossodonta (roundjaw bonefish). It matches the Rfam family "tRNA". From Rfam's summary of the family: Transfer RNA (tRNA) molecules are approximately 80 nucleotides in length. Their secondary structure includes four short double-helical elements and three loops (D, anti-codon, and T loops). Further hydrogen bonds mediate the characteristic L-shaped molecular structure. tRNAs have two regions of fundamental functional importance: the anti-codon, which is responsible for specific mRNA codon recognition, and the 3' end, to which the tRNAs corresponding amino acid is attached (by aminoacyl-tRNA synthetases). tRNAs cope with the degeneracy of the genetic code in two manners: having more than one tRNA (with a specific anti-codon) for a particular amino acid; and 'wobble' base-pairing, i.e. permitting non-standard base-pairing at the 3rd anti-codon position. Lineage: Eukaryota; Metazoa; Chordata; Actinopteri; Albuliformes; Albulidae. The record is from Rfam by way of RNAcentral.
GCCUUGUUAGCGCAGUCGGUAGCACGUCAGUCUCAUAAUCUGAAGGUUGUGAGUUCGAUCCUCACACAGGGCA